CAGCAGAUUCUCCAACUCCAGCAUAACGAAACAUCAAUGGUAACAUAUGACAUAAUAGUCCCAAUAGUAAAAGCAGUGAGUUCACAUCUGCUUGUUUCUGUUCAAUCACAUAAACCAUUAAGAUUAUAUAUUAAAGAUUAAUAUUUGCAAUUUAAAAAGUGCUUUUAUGAAAAUUUUUGUAACUAUAAAUUAAUAUAUAUUGAUUUACGUACGUACCCUAUCAUAUUUUUGUUCCUUGGAGAGAUUAGCAAUGCCACCACAGAAGAGAGAGGUCCCAAGAACCAGAAGAAGGUUUGAAAGAAUAGAUCCCAAAAGGGAGUAUUUCACAACAUCUACUUUGUGUUGCGUCAGAGCAAGAAUUGCUAUUAUCAGUUCCGUCGCAUUCCCACACGUUGCAUUUAGAAGCCCUCCAACUGAACAAAUAUUAUUUAAACACAUGCACAAUAUUAAUUAGGGAAUUUUCUGGCCUAGAUUUCAAUUAUUAAUCGGACUCCAAAACAAGUAAAAAGAGGCUCUAAUAUCUUUUUUUUCUCUUUUUAUAUCAAGUUAAGAGCAUCAAAAAUUGAUUAUUAUUAUGGAAUUAAAAUACAGCUAAAGAACUUUUACAUUAUCAAUAUGCUUUAAUAUGUUAUAACGAGUUAUUCACCUUAACAUCUACUUUACUAGAUUACUUGGGAACUGUUGUUGAAGAUGCUAUAAAACAAUUAUACACCGUCAGUGCAAAAAUUAAAUUUAUUUUAUAAUUUAUAUAUUUUUUCAAUUUGUCGAAGUCAGCUAGUGGCAAUAUGGUGUCUUACUACUCUUUCGUUUUUCAUAGUGCUGGGUCUAAUGUACUCUUUAUCGCUUUUGCUUUUAAGCUACUUUCUCAUUUUCAUGAUAUUAUUGUUCCUAUGUUUUCUAUUGGCGAUGCUGAUAUUGUUUUUUUUCGUCUUUUUAAGCCAAGGGUCUUUCGGAAACAAGUUCUCUACUCCGUUCGAAUAGAACUAAAAUCUGCGUAUACACUGCCCUUCCUGUACCCAGACUAGAACGCAAUGAUAAUGCUAAAUUUUUUUGUUAUAGAGAGGAUAUAGAACUGCAGUUCAAUCUUAUCUUCUUUUUAUCCUGUAUCUUUUUUUCUUUUAUUGGAGAACGAACGUAUAUUGGGAGUUCUAAUUAAAAUAUUGGCAAGAUAUAUAUAAACAAAGAAAGCCAAAUCAAAAUAUAUGGUAAAUUAAUUAGUACCUGUUGGACCAGUGAAGAAAGCUAUUUGUCUGCAAAUUCAACGAUCAAAAACGGAAGGAAACAGAAAAAUAAUCAGAUAAUAGUAAAUUAAAUUAAUAAAUAAAAUUUUGAUAUAAAUUAGGGAAUCAAUUUCCUUACUCUGUCAAAAAGCUGAUCCGUUCAGCCAAUGGUGUGAGUCCAACUAAACUCAAUCCAAAAACCCAUGACUGAUAUUUUUAAGAAAAAAUAAUAAGAAUGUCAGUACAAUGAAAUAAAUUAAUAAUAAGAAAUAACAGAAGUGUUGAUUAAAUAAUAGCUUCUCAGAUCCGUAUCAUUCAACGGCUCUUUUGCUUGUCCAAAAUGAAAAAUUUAAUCACCGUUUAAAAUACUACUCAAACUUCUAGUAUUUCUUUUUCCUUCCAUUUUGUGUUAAUUAAAGUGUUUUAUUAUUCAUGCAUAAUGUCAUAAUCUGUUGAACCAUGAUACCCUCUAAUCUAUAAUUUAAAAUAUUUAAUAAAAUAUAGUUUUGAUUAGUUAAUUGCUCCAUAUAUUUUAUCUUGAAUAUGUCUGCUUCUUUGUUUCACUAAAAAUAUAUUUUUCCUUUAUUUUUGGGUAACUCUAAUAUCUAAUAUCAACAACAACAAAGUAUAAUCCCAUUUAGUGAGGUCUGGGAAGGGUAGUAUGUACGCAGACCUUACCCCUACCCGGGGUAGAGAGGCUGUUUCCAAAUAGACCACCGACAUCCUUCCCUCCAAGAACUUCCCACCUUNNNNNNNNNNNNNNNNNNNNNNNNNNNNNNNNNNNNNNNNNNNNNNNNNNNCAUCCUUCCCUCCAAGAACUUCCCACCUUGCUCUUGGGGAGACUCGAACUCACAACCUCUCAGUUGGAAGUGGGGGUUGCUUACCAUCAGAGCAACCCACUCUAAUAUCUAAUAUCAUAGUAUUAAAUUGUAAUUAAGCAUUAGAUAAAAUGAUGAAAGUAAUUCAAUAAAAAGAAAAGAGAAGAUGAUGACUUACUCUUCCAAAGUUUAGGUAAUGAGCAAGAAUGGCAAAAGGGACAGCAAUGAAGAGCACAAAAAGUUUAGUUCCUAAAAUGACCUCUUGAAUAUUAGCAAGAACAUCUCUAACAAUGCUGCAAGGUACUUUCCGCUACUUUAAAAUGACCUCUUGAAUAUUAGCAAGAACAUCUCUAACAAUGCUGCAAGGUACUUUCCGGACAAGGGUAAGAUCGGAUUUUUUUCUCAGAGAUGCUGAGGACAAGUUAUGAGCUGUUCGGCUACGGCCAUGUCCGUGCCUCAUUUCUUUGCUUAAGGGUUUAAUAUUUCCAUUUUCUAAUAGCCAUGUUUCUGCUGCUGGUGCUGAUGAUGAAGACAUUGGUAUUUGAAUAUUCUUUUUUUCUUUCUAUUUGUUUGGUUUUUAUCUAUAUAUGCUGAUGCAAAUAGUUUUAAUAUGUAAAUAUAAGAAACGUAACCAAGAGAGAUAAUAUGAAGGGUAUUGAGUACACUGUUGUAUUGAUAAGUAGUGAUAACUGUCUCUGUGAGUACGGUGGCCUUGAAUAUACAUUAUAUAAGAAAUGAUUUGGAGCAGGCAAUUUCCACGAAGUUUCUACUUUUGUUUUUUUGGGAUAUUCAUUAGAAAAGUUUUUUUUUUUUAUGUAACUUCUUUUAGGAAAACAAAAAUCUAUUACAGUGAUAGAAAAGGGUGAUUUUUUGCCGGUUGUCCGUUUUUGUAUCUGCAAUUUAGUAAAUGGCCAUCUUUUUAUUUCUCUUGUAACGGUCUAAAUAUAUUUAGCAAAUUAAACAUUUUAUGAUAAAAUAUUACAUCACAGUUUAAAUUUUUGUAAUUUAUUGCGGACGCUAGACCAUGAUAGAAACUUAUAUAAGUUAUUCAAAAGUUAGACCGUAGUAUAAUAUUUUGGGAGCAAACAGAAAGUUCUAUGAGCAAUUAUUAUACCUGAGUCUAAUGUUGUUCGAAAGGGUAAUUUUCCAAGGUUGCACGUUGUAAAUUGUAAUGACUCGAUAGAUCGUUUGGAAUACUAGCUUUUUUUUUUGUGUUCCAAAACUUUACAUAUCUCAAUUUGAUGACGUAUAACAUAUGUUUACGGUCCGUGUCAAUUUCCGAAAGGUCCAUAUGUAAAAUUCUAAAGAAAAUAUGAUUUUUUUGCUUUAAAUGCCUCCAGAGGUGACCACGGUCAACGCUUUUUGUAAACAAGCUCAGAUCGGUAUUUUGAUAAUUCCAGUAAGUAGGUCCAUAUGAUAAUUUUAGACUUGUAUGCAUAUUUAGUUGGGGUCCCAGGAGAUCCGAGGCCGUUUCGGCACAUUAUGUGAAAAGUUGGAAAAUAAUUUUUAACUUAAAAAUCUUGAGUUUUAAUGAUAUAUUAUUGGUAUUUCAUGUUAUUUUGAUGAUUUGAGCUAGAAAGCAAGUUUAUAUGAUGUAUUACACUCGUGUGGAUGUCCAAAUUGAAGCCCAAGGCGCUUGAGAUCGGUAUUUUGAUGAUUCCGGUAAGUAGGUCCAUAUGAUGAUUUUAGACUUGUAGGCAUAUAUGGUUGGGGUUCUAGGAGAUCCGAGGCCGUUUCGGUACAUUAUGUGAAAAGUUGGAAAAUAAGUUUUACACUUAAAAAUCUUGAAUUUUAAUGACAUAUUAUUGGUAUUUCAUGUUGUUUUGAUGAUUUGAGCUAGAAAGCGAGUUUGUAUGAUGUAUUACACCCCUGUGGAUGUUCGAAUUGAAGCCCGAGGGGCUUAAGUAAGUUUCAGAUGUGUUACACACUGCAUUUAUUUGGCUUAACGGGACUAUUCACGUUGAAUUUCUAGAGGUCUCGCAUUUGCGAGAACCUAUUCGCAAAUGCGAGCUUCACUUUUAUAAAGUCAGGCUCACAUUUGCUAAGGGGGACUGGGAGUUGGGAUCUUUUUUUGAAUUUAUGUUAUUUUGAUGAUUUGAGCUAGAAAGCGAGUUUGUAUGAUGUAUUUCACUCGUGUGGAUGUUCGAAUUGAAGUCCGAGGGGCUUGAGUAAGUUUCGGAUACAUUACACACAUAUUUUUUUUAGCUUAACAGGACUAUUCAUGUUGAAUGUCAGGAGGUCUCACAUUUUUGAGAACUUGUUCGCAAUUGCGAGCUUCACUUUUGCAAAGUCAGGCUCGCAUUUGCUAAGGGGGCCAGGAGUUGGGAUAUUCGUUUCGUUUGAACGCUUGUUCUAAAGAGAAAGCCGUGUUGGAUUGUUGAUUGUAUUUCGAAAAGAGUUAAGUGUCUUAUUUAAUCUCGAUUUGUGGAAAACAAGAUAGAGUCGAAUCUAUUUGCUAUGCGAUCCAUGUAUUUGGGGUGUCAUAUAUGCAUGAUAACAUGUGUGUAUAUAUGCAUUGGCCAUGAGAUAAGCACGGAGGCAGAAUUAGUCUUACUUGUGCCAUGUUAUUUGGUGUAUUAUGUCUUUCAUAUCUUAGAUAGAUUGAUUAAUUUUUGAUUACUCGCAUUCAUGUUAUUUUUUACGUUGAGAUUAUUAUGGUAUUGGGCGUUUGAGAUUGUGAAUUUGUUAAUUGGUUAUCGACAUUAAUCGUUGAAAGAUUCUCAUAUGACGAGUUGUGUUCAAAUACUACUGUUGAUGUUGAAUUUGCUUCUCAUCUUGCUUGGUAUUGUGUUAUUUGUGAUUGCAUGGUGGGGGAAGAGCGAAAUGCGCGAAGGAUGUUGUUGUGGUUAUGAGGAAGAGUAAUGGUGACAAAAGGUGUUUCGUGCCUUAUUUACAUAUUGAUAUUAUUGCUUGCGUGAAUACGAGGAUAUGCAUAAAGUUUAUUUCCGUGCUUGAUUACUAUUUUAUUAUGUGAGGAUGAAAGUAAACGCAUGAAUGGUGAUGCCAUGCAAUUGUUUUACAUUAUUAUAUGAGGAUGAGAGUAAAAGUACGAAGGGUGAUGCAUGCCGUACAAAUUUAUUUAUUAUUUUUUACUUUGAUAUUGAAAUGUGAACUUGACUUUAUGGCUUUGUUAAUUGCUUUUGAAAGAUUGUUCGGAGUUGUUGUUACUUUACUCAAUGCUUUCGCUUUAAGCCCCUUUUACUUAUAUACUUGUUAUUAUCCCGUCUUUAUACUUGACACUUUACUUAUUAUUAUUAUUUCGCAUGCAAGUUUAUUGUAGGUGUCUUAGCUUAGCCUCGUUACCAUCCCUUCCGGGUUAGGCGCGAUAUUUACUAAGUGUAUUGGGCAGAUUGUACUCAUACUAUACUUUUGCACUUCUUGUGCAGACCAGAACAUUGGUACCAUCGGAGUUCCGAGAGGUGCUUAGCAUAUACCAGUCGGAUAAUUCAAGGUAGAGCUGCAUUCACUACAAGAAAUAUGCCAUAUGACGACAUUUUAUAAAUGUCGUAUUAAGCUACAUAAAUGUCAUAAAAUCGUGUUCCGACAUUUAUUUUACACUUAGACCAAGUGUCGUAAAUUUCAAUGUUGGAAAUAUUCCGACAUUUAUUUUAGUGUCGGUAAAAUAUUUACGAUAUUUAACUUGCGACUCUUAUGAAAAGGUCGCGUUAAAACUUAUGACAUUUCACAUAAUGUCGGCAAGUUAAGUACAGGUUUUCAACUUAUUUCUUUUACGACAUUUAGAAGUAUCGAAAUUUUUUGAAUUACCGUGACAUUUGUACAACUCAUCUUGCUAAUAUAAUAAUUGAUCAUUGACAUUUGCACAUACUCUGAGAGGACAAUUCCUAUAAAUAUAAAUUUGAAAUUAUAGUUUACUAUAAUGAAAGUAUAGCCUUCAAAUUUCUAAACUAAAUACCAGUAAGUGUCAUUCAACAUAGAGAAUUUGAACGGUAAUAAAUAGAAGUUCUCUAUAAUUAAUUACAAGAAUGUAUUAAUGAAUAGCUGUAUAUCUUUACAAUGAGAUAAUGCUAGAAUCAAACUAUUCGGCUGGAUUUGAGAAAAAUAAACAAAUUCUGCAACAACAGAUCUCUUCCUCAACUCGUUAUUUCACUUUUUGUGCUACAUCCCGUCAGCUCCAAUUUCCUUGUGCAUCCGCCCGUUCGGCACUUUAUUGAAUUUAGACAACGAGGUCCUCUGAGGUAGUUAACCUAUAUUUUCAUAAAAUGGAAAAUAACUAGCAGAUCAUUGAAAGUCAAUAUAAGAUUGCAUAAUCUACAUGCAAGAAUAAUUCAAUAAAAUGAAUUUAUCUAGUGCAACUAUUUUUACGAGUAUCCUCAUCCUUAUAAGACAACCAAUUGAAGUAUAGUUAUUUGUCAUCAGCGAACAAAAUGCCUUAGUAAAAAACACAUAAUUUUAAUAAAGAAGGAUGUUGUUUGGCCAUCAAACUUACAAGAACUUUGCCAUAAGUUAACACACUGUGGACUUUCUCAUUGCAACUCUAUAUCACACACACUGUGGCCUUUCUCAUUGCAACUCUAUAUCACACACACUGUGGCCUUUCUCAUUGCAACUCUAUAUCACACACACAAAGGCUAGUGGAUUUGUGCAACCGCAUUCUUCACCUAAUCAACCAGCAUAGCCAUCAGUAGUACAUUUCAACCUAGUACAUUCUAAACAUGUUCAACUGAUUGCAUAAUUUUCGUAGGGGGAAGUUACGAAAAAAAAAAUCUCUUUCUUUUUCAAAUUACUAGUACACUUUUUGACAUUUGCCAUGUAUGUCAAUAAUGAAAUUCUUAAUCAGGUGACAUUUAGAUCAAAUGUUACUAUAUUUUCCAUCAUUUUUCAUCAAAUGUCAAAUUUUUGCCACACUUUUUUAACAAAUUCGUAAAACUUUUAAAAAUAGAGACAAACAGUGUCUUAACCAAAGGAAAAGAGGAUAAUAAGAAUCAAAUAUACACUCAUUUUUUGAGACACCACUAGUAUCACUAGACACACGACCAUGAGUACUAGUAAUAUAAAACCGACAACAAUGUUCCCUCUGAUAUUCAAUAUAUUUUCAUAAUUUUGAAAUACUAUUUCCUCCGUUUUAAUUUAUGUGAAUUCAUUAAUUGGAUACGGAGUUUAAGACAAAAGAUUAAAAUUUUUGAACUUGUGGUAUAAAAUGAGACACAUAUAUCUUAUGUGACUAUAAAUACUAUGUAAAUUUUUUCUAAAUAAGGAAAAGAAUAAUUCUUUUUGCCACAAACUAAAAAAGAAAUAUGUUUGCAUAAAUUAAAAUGAAGUUGACAUAUAUUAUCUAAGUUUGUGGAUCUAACCUUUAAUAUAUCAGACAUUGCAGACGGCCUGAAAUAUUGAGUAGAAGUAACUUUAACUGAUCGGUUAAUCUGCGAUUCAUGUGAUAUGUGCAUGCAAUUUUCUAUAUUCCUCUUUAGGACUCACUCUUGUUAUCAGGAAAAUAAUAGUAGCAGCUUUUACAGUUUACUAUUCUCUUUAAGAGUCUGUUUGGAAAAUCACCCUGUAAUUAGAAUUGGUAUAAUUAUUAGGGUAAUAAUUACACAACCUAAUAAUUAUUUAAUUGUGAAAUUACGAUGAUUUAUUUGUUUGUCAUACUGUAAUUACAAUGUAAUUACAAGUUUACUGCUUGGUUACACAAGUGUAAUUACGCAUUAGAUUAAAUUUUAAAUUAAGUAAUUAUCAAAACUUAAAAGCUAAUAUAAUAAAUAUUUGCCUAUAAAUUUUUAUAAGUAUAAAUGAUAUUAUAGUUUCUAUUUAAGAUGUAUAUUUUUCGUGAAUAUACAUUAAUAAGUAAUCAUAUAUUUAUAACUAAUUAAUUACAUAAUUAGAUUAAAUUUUAAAUUAAAUAAUUAUCAAAACUUAAAAAAUAAUAUAAUAAAUAUAUGCCUAUAAAUUUUAUAUGUAUAAAUAAUAUUAUACUUGGUAUUUAAGAUGUAUAUUUUUUGUGAAUAUCAAUUAAUAAGUAAUUAUAUAUUUAUAAUUAAUAUUGUAAAAAUAAUUUUUAUAUAUAUAUAUAUAUUAAAUUAAUAAUAUUUAGUUUGGAUACUUACAAAAACUAAAAAAAUUUCGUAUGAACAUCAUCAAAUUCAUAUUCGAUAAAAUAAAUUAAUAUUUAUAAAUAUAAUAUCAUACAUUAUUCAAAUGUUUAACAAAAUUAAUUUAUUAAUUUCUACUAAAAAAUAAAAAACAUGCGAUGUGAGUCAAUACUAAUAAAACAAGUAAAUUGGAACCAUGAAUAUAACAUAACUUUAAAAUUCAAAAAAUAAAUUAUUUUGCAUAUGUCAAAUUCCAAUACAAUAAUAGUAAGUUCCACUAUAAUUUUAGAUUAAGAAACAUAAUAAGUUCAUAACCACAUUCAACAAUGAAAUUUUGCUUUAAUUACAUUACUUGUUAUAUGAUAAGUUUGUAAAUGACUUAUUAUUUAUAAUACUAGGAGGUGUAAUUUUUUUUUAAAAAAUAAUAAAAUAAAUAAAAAUAAAAUAUAAGCAAUUACAUGAAAUAACAAGAAAUAAAGGAAGA
This 8569-nucleotide long non-coding RNA is filed under the name Nicotiana benthamiana. Its description in RNAcentral is "long non-coding RNA (NBEN_LNC010624)". The record is from RNAcentral. Lineage: Eukaryota; Viridiplantae; Streptophyta; Magnoliopsida; Solanales; Solanaceae.